GAUCAUGGCUCAGGAUGAACGCUAGCUACAGGCUUAACACAUGCAAGUCGAGGGGCAGCGGGAUUGAAGCUUGUUUCAAUUGCCGGCGACCGGCGCACGGGUGAGUAACGCGUAUCCAACCUUCCGUACACUCAGGGAUAGCCUUUCGAAAGAAAGAUUAAUACCUGAUGGUAUGAUGAGAUUGCAUGAUAUCAUCAUUAAAGAUUUAUCGGUGUACGAUGGGGAGUGCCG
RNAcentral lists this ribosomal RNA (231 nucleotides) under uncultured bacterium. Its description in RNAcentral is "partial 16S ribosomal RNA". It matches the Rfam family "Bacterial small subunit ribosomal RNA", at positions 15 to 238 of the family's 1533-position model. The record is from RNAcentral.